AUCAGCUCUAGAACAUUUGGUGAUGGUCAAUGGAAAUCUAACACCAAAAGGACGAUAUUCAGAAACCCUUUUGGAAAUUGGAGAUAAAUGGGUGGUUUUGAUAAAGAAAGGAGAGGUUUUGAUGAGAGUAGUGGAGAAAUUCAUGUGGAUGAAAAUGGAGAGGUUUUGGCAUGAAUGAAUGUUGCAGAAUCCCUAAGCAAGUACUGUAUUAGAUUUUAUUACUUGCUGUUGACUGAUUAAGCUCUGUCUACCGUAUUAUUCUUUGUUUCUGGAAACGCCAGAAAAUGAAGAGAA
Molecule: unclassified non-coding RNA, 294 nt
Filed under: Hevea brasiliensis (rubber tree)
Lineage: Eukaryota; Viridiplantae; Streptophyta; Magnoliopsida; Malpighiales; Euphorbiaceae
Source: RNAcentral